GCCAGUGUGGCAGAGUGGUUACGCGGCUGAUUGCAGAUCAGCUACAUCCCGGUUCAAUUCCGGGCGCUGGCU
Methanoregula formicica SMSP is the source of this 72-nucleotide transfer RNA. It matches the Rfam family "tRNA". From Rfam's summary of the family: Transfer RNA (tRNA) molecules are approximately 80 nucleotides in length. The record is from Rfam. Lineage: Archaea; Methanobacteriati; Methanobacteriota; Methanomicrobia; Methanomicrobiales; Methanoregulaceae.